CAGUCGCCGCGGUAAUACGUAGGGUGCGAGCGUUAAUCGGAAUUACUGGGCGUAAAGCGUGCGCAGGCGGUUGUGUAAGACAGGUGUGAAAUCCCCGGGCUUAACCUGGGAACUGCGCUUGUGACUGCACAGCUAGAGUAUGGCAGAGGGGGGUGGAAUUCCACGUGUAGCAGUGAAAUGCGUAGGGAUGUGGAGGAACACCGAUGGCGAAGGCAGCCCCCUGGGCCAAUACUGACGCUCAUGCACGAAAGCGUGGGGAGCAAACAGGAUUAGAUACCCCGGUAGUCCAUGUCUCUUAUAC
RNAcentral lists this ribosomal RNA (301 nucleotides) under uncultured bacterium. RNAcentral's name for it is "partial 16S ribosomal RNA". It matches the Rfam family "Bacterial small subunit ribosomal RNA", at positions 509 to 807 of the family's 1533-position model. The record is from RNAcentral.